This 494-nucleotide ribosomal RNA is filed under the name uncultured bacterium. Its description in RNAcentral is "partial 16S ribosomal RNA". It matches the Rfam family "Bacterial small subunit ribosomal RNA", at positions 28 to 507 of the family's 1533-position model. The record is from RNAcentral.
GACGAACGCUGGCGGCGUGCUUAACACAUGCAAGUCGAACGGUGAAGCGCCUUCCUUUUUGGUGGGUGUGGAUGAGUGGCGAACGGGUGAGUAACACGUGAGUAACCUGCCCCCUUCUUCUGGAUAACCGCAUGAAAGUGUGGCUAAUACGGGAUAUUCUGGGUCUGUCGCAUGAUGGGUCUGGGAAAGAUAUUGUUUCGGUGGGGGAUGGGCUCGCGGCCUAUCAGCUUGUUGGUGGGGUGAUGGCCUACCAAGGCGGUGACGGGUAGCCGGCCUGGGAGGGUGGACGGUCACACUGGGACUGAGACACGGCGCAGACUCCUACGGGAGGCAGCAGUGGGGAAUAUUGCACAAUGGGCGCAAGCCUGAUGCAGCGACGCCGCGUGAGGGAUGGAGGCCUUCGGGUUGUGAACCUCUUUCGCCAGUGAAGCAGGCCUGCCUCGUUUGUGGGUGGGUUGACGGUAGCUGGAUAAGAAGCGCCGGCUAACUACGUG